AUUGAACGCUGGCGGCAGGCCUAACACAUGCAAGUCGAGCGGAUGAAGGGAGCUUGCUCCUGGAUUCAGCGGCGGACGGGUGAGUAAUGCCUAGGAAUCUGCCUGGUAGUGGGGGAUAACGUCCGGAAACGGGCGCUAAUACCGCAUACGUCCUGAGGGAGAAAGUGGGGGAUCUUCGGACCUCACGCUAUCAGAUGAGCCUAGGUCGGAUUAGCUAGUUGGUGGGGUAAAGGCCUACCAAGGCGACGAUCCGUAACUGGUCUGAGAGGAUGAUCAGUCACACUGGAACUGAGACACGGUCCAGACUCCUACGGGAGGCAGCAGUGGGGAAUAUUGGACAAAGGGCGAAAGCCUGAUCCAGCCAUGCCACGUGUGUGAAGAAGGUCUUCGGAUUGUAAAGCACUUUAAGUUGGGAGGAAGGGCAGUAAGUUAAUACCUUGCUGUUUUGACGUUACCAACAGAAUAAGCACCGGCUAACUUCGUG
This 484-nucleotide ribosomal RNA is filed under the name uncultured bacterium. RNAcentral's name for it is "partial 16S ribosomal RNA". It matches the Rfam family "Bacterial small subunit ribosomal RNA", at positions 30 to 507 of the family's 1533-position model. The record is from RNAcentral.